UGGCGCACGGGUGAGUAACACGUGACUAACCUACCCUCGAGUGGGGAAUAACCUAGAGAAAUCUGGGCUAAUACCGCAUAACACUUACGAGUCAAAGCAGAAAUGCGCUUGAGGAGGGGGUCGCGGCAGAUUAGCUAGUUGGCGGGAUAAUGGCCCACCAAGGCAAUGAUCUGUAUCCGGCCUGAGAGGGCGCACGGACACACUGGAACUGAAACACGGUCCAG
This 224-nucleotide ribosomal RNA is filed under the name uncultured bacterium. RNAcentral's name for it is "partial 16S ribosomal RNA". It matches the Rfam family "Bacterial small subunit ribosomal RNA", at positions 96 to 334 of the family's 1533-position model. The record is from RNAcentral.